GUUUUAAUUAAAAGUAAAUAUGAAUUUAUUUUAACAUGGAACAUCAACUGUUCUAUUUCAGAGGCAAGAUGGAAAUAAAUUGUCCUUGUUCUUCCUGUGCUGCUCAGAAAGAGUUUGUCCUUCUCAUGUCUCCCACGUUACCUGCUCUUCUCAUUUCCAUAUUUUUGUUUUCUCCUUCGUUUCGCUCCAUGGCAGCAAAUAAUGCUGAAUACCGAUGUAUUCAUUCAUUUACAGAUCAUUUCUCUGAGCACCACACACUAGCACUCAGCUUUUCCAAAUACAAAUCAAGGCUGGUUACCUUAAUUACUCAUGGAUUUCUGCAGUGCACAGAUUUACCACCCAGUUUCUCCACUGGUGCCUGGGAUCUCAGAGUCAGGAAGUGGUGAGAAGUCUGUUGCAGGCAAUGCCCUGAUAGCAGUGAUUACAUUUAGAAAGUCAGUAUUUCCAAGCCACAGCCCUGCAGAGGACAGUCAGGGACAGCUGGUGGGAACAGUGCUGUGACAUCAGCUGUUCCUUGCGUCCCUAGAGAAAUGCAGAGGCUGAGUGGAAAUCUCCUGAAGGUCUCCACACUUCCCUGUGCUUCUCACAAACCCUUGAGCGUGGUAGCACUGACCAUGCUUGCUGGGUAGCUGCCAUUCCUCACUGUCUUUUGGUCCAGCUAAUGGGCAUUUGCUCAAUUCCACGUGUUCCAGCGCUUAGCACUUGGCCCCAGAGAAUAUCGUGUGAUUAAUGCAUCAAAAGACUUGUCUUAAAAUCCUCCUCCCCUCACUUUCCAGCGUUUUAUUUUCUCAGUUACAUUUUCUCUUUGUUCCUUUCUGCAAACCCUAGUGUAAAUGUUUUUGAGUAAUUAAUGUGUCAAAUAACAGACCUGAAUUUUCAUGGGCAAUUAGUGGGCUGAGUAAAGCCAGCAAAAUGCAUUUCAGUUUUAAUAGUGAAUUGUGGCUCAUUUGCUGUUUUGCAGAAAUAUAUCCUGGAAUACUGAGAGCUUCAUAUGCCUGUAUAUUUUUUAUUUCUGUUUCAUCUACCAAAGCUCCCUCUCCUUUUCUAUUUUUCACCACAUACAAGAUGCUGCUAGUAGUCUAUUAAAAUUUGCAUAUUGUCCUUCUGCCUCAUUGAUAAUUGAUCAGGUUAACAUCUGCUUUCUGCUGGUGCCAGGAGAAACUUGUUUGUUUCCACAGGACUCUGUAAUUCCUCAGGGCCCUGCAGAACUGCACUUCCCAAAGAGAGGUGCCAGGUGCCCCCACAGCAGCACAAGGCACACAGCCUGCUCCCCAAAGAGCUCAGGACACGCUCCAGAGCUGGUGAGGGCUCACCAGCUGAAUUACACAUGGUGGUGGCACAGCAAAUUGUCUACUGUAGGCAAUGCAAGAACAUUUUCAAUAGGAUUACACAGGAACCUCACGCUCCCCAAAGUCCUGCUGAAAGCAUGAGACACCCACUGUGAGGAGAGCAGGUGAAGGCUCCAAAAACUGCCUAGAGAGAAGCGCUAGCGUGCAGCUUUACCAAUGGGACAUGUACUUCCAACCAUUUUAUAAGUGUGGAAACUACAUUGCUUUGAUAUUGCAGGGCUAUUAGAAAGACUUUUAUUCUCUCCACGGUUUCUGGGGAUUCAGCUGUCUGAUUCCAAAAACACCAGAAUCAGAAUCAGUUCAGCUUGGAGACAAGCAGUCAAAAUGAUUAGCAAGGCAAGGAGCUGGUUCAGUCUCAAGGACGCAGCAUAGAAGUCUGACUGGCACAAUCCAUCACAGGUUGGAUGUACCAUAAUUGUACACCACAGAUUUGUAAAUAAUCUCUUUCUUGGUGUCUGUGUUGACAAGGAAUAAUAUAUGUGAGAGCUCCCUUGGUAGGUUACCUUCUGUCUAAACACACCGUCCUGACACUUAAGUGUACACGGUGCAUCUUUAGGAGGAUCUGAGGAGCAUCAGAGGAGGAUGAGCUUGAACAAGGCAGUGCAGCAGAGGCAGGCCAUGACCUGGAGGGCAGGCUGACCUUCCCACCCAGUCUGUGCCUUUCCUGGGCACAGAUAAAAGGGUGCAGAAGUAUGCACCAGGGCUUUCAGUGUGCUCUUCUAUUUUCUUGGAUGCACUGUGCCUUGGAAGGAAUAGCUGUGCUUUCAUUAAAAAGGCUGCCACUCUCAUUGGAAUCUACAAUUUCAAGCACAUCUAGAUAAACCCCUACUAGCACCAAAACACAGCUUAUCACUGCUGCACAGUAAUGAAUACAGUGUCCCAUCAAGGCCAUGGGACCCAAAAUGCUGUCAGCCACAGGCAGAGUAAGGGAGAGCUGUCACACAAGGAGUGCACAGGAGGGACAAACGUGCAGAUCGUGUUCUGGUCAUCUGUAACAAAGAAUGAAGAUCAAAAGUACAGUUACUGAGGGGAACAGAAUGAGAGAUAAUUCGUCAACCAUCAGUAUACAAUGCCACCUGACAAUUUCUAAAUGCAACUGGUAGCUUUGGGUGAACAGUUUGAGGCAAAAUGCAGCUUUUAUGCUGCUUUGGAAGGUACCAAGCACCCACCUCAGAGAGUAAAGUACCCUUUACUUCAACUUGCCUGACUUCAUAUCACCAGCCCAGGUCCUCCUGUGCAGGGCACUGUAACUGGACCCCUUCCCACCUGGAUGUAUUUGCUCCUGUCCAUUACCUGCUGUUGCAGUGUUAUAAAGCUCCUGUCUUAUAUACACAGGGAUAGUAAGGACACUUUUCCACAUUUCACCUACUGCAUGCAUGGCAGUAUAGCUGUUUCUACUGAUACUCACAUUAAAAACCCCAGAAAUUUGUUCCAGAAAGAUCUUUCUCCUCAUUUCAGAUAUAUGAUUCACAACAAGCCACUCUUUCCUCCCCAAGACCUAUACUGUAGGCAAUAGCACCUCUAAUAAGCUUAAGGGAAAAUAAAAUACAUCAAGGAGGAUCA
Long non-coding RNA from Cyanistes caeruleus (blue tit), 2912 nucleotides. Lineage: Eukaryota; Metazoa; Chordata; Aves; Passeriformes; Paridae. The record is from Ensembl.